This 2717-nucleotide long non-coding RNA is filed under the name Amborella trichopoda. RNAcentral's name for it is "long non-coding RNA (ATRI_LNC002704)". The record is from RNAcentral. Lineage: Eukaryota; Viridiplantae; Streptophyta; Magnoliopsida; Amborellales; Amborellaceae.
GGGUUCGCGUCGCGCCCGAGACCGGAGAUCGCUCUCUUGAGAACUGCGUAAAGAGGACACGAGUAGGAAUACCAACCGGUGAGAGAGGAAUUUGAUCGGGAGGCAAGACUUACCUCACGUGGGUUCAUCAUACGCUCGAGCUGCUAGCGUGGGCACCCUCUUAUAUCACUAAGAAUGCCACCUAGCCUGAGGGCGGUUCAAAAUCUCUUCCCUUGACCUGUUUCUUCCUUCCUGCACACACACACAUUAGAGGUCCAGACAAGUGAGUCAGAAGACCUCGCCUUGUCUUUGGGUGAAUGCACACAAGUGUGUACAUUCAAAGGGAAAAUGGGAGAAUGGUGCCAUUGAGUCCAUGUCAAUUUGACAGCUUUUCAGCAUCUUCUUAACAGGGGACUCACGACAACGUUCCUUAAUAGAGAAUGAGGGAAAGGCGAUGAGAUGGAGAGAAUGAGAGAGGGAAGAAAAGAGUUAAGAGACAAAAAGAGAAAAGAAUAGAGAGAAACGAGAAACGAAGACCAGUUUGGCUUUCACCUAGUUCUUUAGAAAGAGAGAGGAAAUGUAAAGAGAGAAAAGAGAGACGAAGCCUAAUUUGGUUUUAACCUAUUCCUUUAGAGAGAAGAGAGAAGAAAGUAGAGAGAGAGAAAAGAGAGACGAAGGUUAGUUUGGUUUUCACCUAACUCUGCAGAGACAGAGAGAAAAGGAAGUAGAGAGAGAGAAAAGGGACACAGGCUAGUUUUGUUUUCACCUAACUCUUCAGAGAGAGAGAAAAGAAAGUACAGAGAGAAAGAUAAUGAAGGUUAGCUUAGCUUUCACUAAUCCUUCCAAAAGAGAGAAGAGAAGAUAAUGAAGGCUAGUUUGGAUUUCACCUAGUCUUUUAGAGAGGGAGAAGAGAGAGGGUGAAAUAAGAAAGAGAGUGGAAGAGAGAGAAGAAGAAGAAGAAAGAGGGAAGAGGGAAGAGAGAAGAAGAGAAGAGAGAGAAGAGAAAGAGGAAGAAAGAGAAAAGAAGAGAGAGAAGAAUGAAGAAAGAGAGGAGAGAGAAAUGUUGGGGAUGGCGGGUAGACCUUGCCGUCUUAAGGGGAAGAGAGACAAAAGAGAGAAGAAAAAGAGAGGUUGGGUACGGCAACAGACCCUGUCGUCUCAGGGGAGUGAGAGAGUUUGAGAUGACAAUAGACCUUACUGUCCCAAAAAGGUGAGAGAAGAAGAAAGUUUAAGUAUGGGACAACGGGUAGGACUUCCAUCCCAAAGAGGUGAGAAAAGAUGAGAGAGAAAGUUUUAGAUAGCGGGUAAGACGGUCAUCCCAGAGAGGAGAGAGAAGAAGAGAGAGAAAGUUUGGGACAACAGGUAAGACUAUCGUCCCAGAGAGGUGAGAGAAGAAGAGAGAAAAUUUGGGAUGGCUGGUAAGACUGCCGUCGCAGAGAUGAGAGUGAAGAAGAAAGAAAAAAAAGGAAAAGAAAAGAAAAGAAAAGAAAAAGAUAGGGGCGGCAGCUGAGCUGCCACUUGGGAAAAGGCUCAGCUUGCCAUCCCAGUCAAGGGAGAAAGGAGAAAGAAAGAUAGGGGUGGCAGCUGAUCCGGCCACUCGGGAAAGGGCUUAGCCUGCCAUCCCAGUCAAACGAGGAGAGAAGAUAGAAAAGAAAGAUGACAGAGGUGGCAAUUGAGUCCGUCACUCGAGAAAGGGCUCAGGCGGCCAUUCUAGUCAAGAGAGAGAAAACCAGGGAGGAAAAGAGAGAAAAAAAAGAAGAAGGCAAGGAAAGGAGAGAAGAAGAAAGAGAAAGGAAAGAAGAAGAGAGAAAGGAAAGGGAGAGAAGAGAAAAAGGAAAGAAGAAGAUAGAGAAAAGGAAAGAAGAAGAGAGAGAAGGAAAGAAUUAGAGAGAAAAAAGAAAGAAGAAGAGACAAAAAGGAAAGAGAGGGAAGAGAAAAAGAAUGAAGAAGAGAGAGAAAAGGAAAGAAGAAGAGAGGAGAGAGAAAGAGAGAGGAGAGAGACAGAGAGAAGAGAGAGAAAGAAGAGAGAGAAGAUAUGAGAGAGAGAAGAGAGGUGAUAAAGAUGGCGGCUGAGCCUGUUGCUUGGGAAAGGGCUCAGGCUGCCGUCUCAAUCAGGGGAGAGAAAGAAAGAAAGGGAGUACAAAAAUGAUAGAGACAGGGGCUAAGCCGGCCACCUAGAAAAGGGCUCAGGCUGUCAUCUCAGUCAAGAGAGAGAGGAUAGGAGAGAGAGAACAAAGAUGACGGAGACGGUGGUUGAGCCCACCGCUUGGGAAAAGGUUCAGGUUGCAGUCUCAAUCAGGAGAGAGAAAGAUAAGAAGAAAGAGAGAGAGAAGAGGAGAGAGAAUGUUACCUAAAUGGGUCUCAAGGGUACCAGUUAAAGUUUUCCCUCUUGUCUCUUUCUCUCUCCAAGAGGGGAAAACAUGACCCAAAAAUUAAACACAAGCCAAAUUUUUCAAUUAAUCAAAGGGGUCAUUCCAAUGUUUACAUCACGUGCAUUUAUAGAGGGGUCAUCCAAACAUGGGUGGAUGCCCAAUAGUUGACCUAAUUGUUAAAAAAUAGCAUUUAAAUGAAUUAACUAAAAAAAAGAAAAUAGAAGUAAGAUGACGAUUUUGCCCCAUGCUCACAAUUUUUGAAAUUUCGAUUUAGUCCCUAUCAUGGCCAUGCAACACUUACUAUCUUUCAUAGCUCAUUUGGGGUCUUUCUAGCCUCUAUCUGGCCAAAAGAAUUUUGCUUUCUUG